AUACGUAGGUCCCAAGCGUUGCGCGAUCUCACUGGGCGUAAAGCGUCCCCAGCCGGUCCGGUAAGCGGAUUGUCAAAACCCGCGGCUCAACCGCGGUAGGGCAACCCGAACUGCCGGACUUGAGGCAAGCCCAGGCAGGCGGAAUUCCCGGUGUAGCGGUGAAAUGCGUAGAUAUCGGGAGGUACACCAAAGGGGAAGCCAGCCUGCUGGGGCUGCCCUGACGGUCACGGACGAAAGCUGGGGGAGCAAACCGGAUUAGAAACCCUAGUAGUCC
Molecule: ribosomal RNA, 274 nt
Filed under: uncultured bacterium
Lineage: Bacteria
Description: partial 16S ribosomal RNA
Rfam family: Bacterial small subunit ribosomal RNA
Source: RNAcentral